Triticum urartu is the source of this 3179-nucleotide RNA transcript. It is a transcript of the gene named Tetratricopeptide repeat (TPR)-like superfamily protein, with no coding region annotated. The record is from RefSeq and is a predicted model, not a curated record. Lineage: Eukaryota; Viridiplantae; Streptophyta; Magnoliopsida; Poales; Poaceae.
UCGUGCCCUUCCUCCUCCCGUUCCCGAACCCUCCCCCCAUUCCCCGUUCCCCAAUCCCCACGCCUCGCCGCGCCGCUUCCCGCCCAAAUCCGCCCGAUCCCGGCCGCCGGAACCCUAGCCCGCGUCGCCAUGAAGAUCUCCGAGCUCUCCCCGGAGUACCACCGCCCGCCGCCGCACGCCGCCCACCUCACCGACCUCGCGCGGGUCGUCGCGGACGUCGAGCGGUACGACGCCCCCGACCCCUCCCCCCCGGAGAAGCUCGCCGCCGACUUCCGCCGCGUGCUCACCAACCUCGGCUCCGCCGCCUCGUCCCUCACCGACCCCUGCAGGCUCCAGAUAUGGAAGCUCGCCACCCGCCUCUGGAACGCCGUCGUCGACCGCGCCAACUCCGCCGCGCUGGCCCGGGGCCCCUCCGCGCGCGCCGCCGAGGCGGAGAUCAGGCAGGCCGCGCCGGAGCUCCUCCUCCUCGCCGGCUGCCCCGACGAGGUCCCCCUCGCCGCCGCCAAGGCCGCCUCCUUCUUCCUCCGCGCCGGCCAGGAGUGGCUCGGCCUCGGCCGCGUCGACCUCGCCACCGCCUGCUUCGAGAAGGCCACGCCGCUCGUCUCCGCCCCCGCCGCGGAGGAGGAGCGGGACGUCCUGCUCGGCCUCAACCUCGCGCGGGCGCGCGCCGCGUCCGACGCGGGCGAUCAGUCCCUCGCCGUCGCGCUGCUCGGUCGCUCCAAGCCCCUCGCGUCCGCCUCCCCCAAGGGGACCAGAUCCCUCGCCGAGGGCUACCUGUCCGUCGGCGAGGCCGCGCUAUCCACCAAACCCUCUGACCCCGCCGUUGGAGCGUCCAGCCUCAUCACCGAGGCGCUAGAUCUCUUCGAGAAGCUGGCCUCCCCCUGCCCCUCCAGCGCCAGUCCCAAGACCCCAAAUCUCCAGCAGCAAAAGGGUCGAUGCCUCCGCUACCUUGCCCUGGAGCGUCUCGAAGCCAAGGACCACGAGGGCGUCCUGCGUUGUGUCCAGGUCUCGAGGGCUUCAGUGGGGCAGGCGGACGAGCACCCGAGCAUGGGGUUCAUGGCCCUGCACGCGUGGCUUGGCACCGGGAACUUGGCGGAGGCCGAGAGGGAGCUCGAGAGAAUCAUGGCCAACGCCAACGCACCAGAGAAUGUAUGCGUGGGGGCAGCUGAGGUGUACCUUGCCUCUGCGGGGCCUGAGGCUGCACGCAAGGUGCUCGUUGCGCUUGCUGCACGUUGCCGCGCAGGAGGUGCAGCUGCUGCUGUGAGAGUGGUGACCACGGUGGUUGAUGGUGGUAUCGGUAGCCCUGGGCGCGCAAGAGCGAUCGGUGAGCUCGUGUCGGAUGAGAGGGUGGUCGCCCUGUUCGAUGGCCCGGCUAACACCAGUCACCGUGGAGCAAUGCAUACACUGCUCUGGAACUGCGGGUUUGAGCAUUUCAAUGCAAAGAACUACGAUACAUGUGCGGACUUGUUUGAGACAUCGAUGCUUUAUCUAUCCCGUGAAGAGGGAAGCAGAGCCCGGCGAGCACAAUGCCUCCGAGUCCUUGCCGUUUGCUAUCUAGCCCUUCAACGUCUGGAUCGAGCACAUGAGUUUGUCAAUGAGGCUGACAAGGUGGAACACAAUGCCCAUUGUGCCUUUAUGAAGAUCAAAAUUCAUCUUCAGAAGAACGACGAGGACGAGGCUAUCAAGCAGAUAAAAACCAUGAUGGGUUGCAUUGACUUCAAUCCCACAUUCCUAAUGCUCACAACUCAUGAGGCUAUUGCCUGCAAGGCUGUCCGGGUAGCAGUUGCUUCAUUGACCUUCCUUCUUGGUCUCUAUUCUGCCGGAAAGCCUAUGCCAGAGCGUGAGGUUACUGUCCUCCGCACUCUUAUUGAGCUCCUCCGUCGUGAGCAAGGUACUGAGGAUGAGAUCCUGAAGUACUCGAGACGUGCCAAGCUACGGAUGUCUGACCUUGGCGCGGAAGGCUUCUUUGGCAAUGGACCUGGUGGGGCGCGUGAACUGAACUGGUUUGCCAGCAAUAGCUGGAAUAUGGGUAGAAAGGUGGCAAAGGAGCAGAAGUAUGAUCUUAGUGCUGAGUUCUUUGAGCUUGCAGCAGAGUUCUUUGGUGCUGCAAGUAAUGAUGAGGGUGAUGGAAAUCGCCCCACACUUUGCAAAGCGUUAAUCAUGAGUGUCACUUCCAUGCUUGAAGCUGAGGAGCUAAACAAUUCUCCCUUGUCGGAUUGUGAUGUUAAAAAAGGUGUUGACAUGCUCAGCAGAGCUGGCAAGCUAUUACCUUCAAUCUGGCCCUCGGGUUCAGUUGCCUCUGAUCAGGCUGAGGCCAAUGACUUUCUGUUUCUUCAUACCUUCUACUCCUACCAACUCCUUGACAGGAUGGACACCAGCGCACAUCCUCAGCAGCUCCAGCUAGUCAAGAAUUUCGCUUCCUCUAAAGCAUGCACGCCGUCCCAUCUUCUCAAACUUGGAAAAACUGCUUCUGAAGGCACCCCACCAAACCUGCUGGUUGCUGAAUUUUCCCUGAAGGCUAGCAUCAAGACCGCCCUUGCUUCUCACUCCCCAAACUACAGGGUAAUCAGUGCUGCCCUCAGGAACCUAGCCUGCCUUGCUGGCUUGCAAGACUUAAGUGGUAGCAAGAGUGAUGCAGUGUAUGAUGUAUAUCGACAAGCCUACCAGAUCUUGGUUGGACUGAGAGAUGGUGAAUAUCCAUGUGAGGAAGGGCAGUGGCUUGCAGUGACUGCUUGGAACAAGUCAUAUUUGGCUAGGCGGCUUAAUCAAGCUUCAGUUGGUAUAAAAUGGAUGAAGAUGGGAUUAGAUCUCUCUCGGCAUGUUGAGAGCAUGAAGCAGUAUACAGCAGACAUGGAGCAAUGCCUUGAGUACUUCCAGAAAUUGUUUCAUAGUGAAGCUGGUGAACAUGCUUUGCUCGGGAAAAACCCUGAUGAAUGUAGUCAGCAAGAGGGGGCACCAAGCACAAUUAUACUAUAGAUGGCAUUACCAUUCAAACUAUUCUAGUUGAAAAUUGGAGAGGGGCAGAAAUACAUAAAGAGGGGACCAGGUUCAUAUGGUGCUGUACGACCAUCGCCAGCUAAUGGUGCAGCAGCUACCCCUCUCUGAUUCAGCAAACACCUGAAGCGUGACAGUCUUGAUGUGGCUGACCUGGUGUCUUCAGCAAUCUGCUCAAGUGGACU